This is an RNA transcript of Phyllopteryx taeniolatus (common seadragon), 2543 nucleotides long. It is a transcript of the gene named electron transfer flavoprotein subunit beta, with no coding region annotated. Lineage: Eukaryota; Metazoa; Chordata; Actinopteri; Syngnathiformes; Syngnathidae. The record is from RefSeq and is a predicted model, not a curated record. The transcript is spliced from 7 exons.
UCCUGGUGGGAACGUGUCAUGCCGCAGCAACUGAAUUGCCCAAAAACGACUUGUGUUUGUCCAAACUAUGACGUUUAGCAACAAUGUAAACCUUGACUAUUACGUAUCGAUGCCGAAACUUCCGAGUUGCGGUAAUGCACCCCUGAACGCAACAUCAAAGCUAUUUUUGCGUUUAACCAGAAAGUAGCAAGAUGUUCGACGUCUUCUGAUUUGGUCACCUGUGCUUUCCUCGUACAUUUGUUCGGGAAAAUCAAGUUAACUCUAUUCGUUACGUGUUUUUAUUAGUGUAUACGCGGUUAUAUCCGUCCAUUUUCUACACUGCUUAUCCCUCACUACUAGGGUAGCGGGCGUGCUGGAGACUAUCCCAGCUGACUGGGCGAGAGGCGGGGUACACCCGGAACCGAUCGCCAGCCAAUCGUAGGGCACAUAUAAACAAAUAACUUACCCCUGGAGUACCCGGGGGGAAAACACGCAGGCACGGGGAGAACAUGCAAACUCCACGAAGGCGAGGCCGGAUUUGAACCCAGGUCUUCAGAACUGUGAGGCAGAUAUGCUAACCAAUCUCGAGCGUGCGGCCUGCGCGGUUGUAUAUUUUCUUUAAAAAUAAAAAAUCCUAUUCAAGAUAUAUAUAUUUUUUUGUAAAUACAGGUACAUAAAACCACAUUUCUUCUUGUGACAUGGCAUGUUUUUCAUUCGUUCGUGUUUUAAUUAAACUAUUAUUACUAUUGUAGAUAUAAGUUGUACAUACGUCAGCUGCCUGACAUUUUAUUUGACAUCCAUCCACCCAUCCAUUUUCCGUACCGCUUAUUUUUAUUUUUAUUUUUUAAAGCCCUGUGAUAUGUAAAACCGUUUCCAAAAUAAUAACCAGGUAUAAAUAAUGGUUAUAUAAUAUAAUUUACUAUAUUAUUAAGCAUAAUGAUCGCUUUGAACUUUGCCACACAUAAUCGGAACAAUUGUUCGUUUAGUUUUCAACACGGUAGCUCUUGAGCGGUACCGCAGUAGUAGUUCACAGGGUUCAUUGCUUAUAUUAAACAAAUCUGUCAAACUACUGCAGACGAUAAAAUAAGACCUAAUGCUAUUCAUAACUAAUAAAUAUGUUUUUUUUUUGUUAGAAUAAAGCGAGGUUUCACGUUUAUGAAGUUUGCAACGGAACUCUGUAAACUCAGCCAAUUAGCGCCGAGUAUAAUGAGCGUUGCCGCUUUUCAUUGGUCAAAAUGGUAGGCGGCCCCGACUUUCCUUCCUGGUGUUACCCUAAAAUAACUCCGACUCCCCCUUGGGUGAAGGUUCACUUGCGGUGACUCGGUUACGUCCGCUGUCCACAACUUCAUUCCACCGGUUCACCUACCAUGUCUGGUCGCGUCCUCGUCGGAGUCAAGCGUGUCAUUGACUACGCAGUUAAGAUCCGGGUGAAGCCAGACAAGAGCGGCGUGGUGACCGAUGGCGUGAAACACUCGAUGAACCCCUUCUGCGAGAUCGCUGUGGAGGAGGCGGUCAAGCUGAAGGAGAAGAAACUCAUUAAGGAAGUGGUGGCAGUGAGCUGCGGGCCGCAACAGGCACUGGAGACCAUCCGCACUGCGCUCGCCAUGGGAGCCGACCGCGGCAUCCAUGUGGAGGUAUCUGGCAAGGACUACGACAACUUGGGACCCCUGCAGGUCUCUAAGGUCAUGGCUGCUUUGGCCAAGAAGGAGGAGGCUCAGCUCGUAAUACUUGGGAAACAGGCCAUCGAUGAUGACUGCAAUCAGACGGGACAAAUGACAGCAGCCCUCCUUGACUGGCCUCAGGGGACCUUUGCUUCAGAGGUGACGCUGGAAGGCGACAUGGUGAAAGUGGUGCGUGAGAUCGAUGGCGGCCUGGAAACCAUCAAGAUCAACACACCUGCCGUGGUCACCGCGGACCUCCGACUUAACACACCCCGCUACGCCACACUGCCUAAUAUCAUGAAAGCCAAGAAGAAAAAAAUUGCCAGCGUGAAGCCGGCCGAGCUGGGUGUGGAACUGACAUCCCGGCUGGAGGUGCUGCGGGUGGACGAGCCCCCGCAGAGGCAGGCUGGCAUCAAAGUGGAGACUGUGGACGAUUUGGUGGGCAAACUCAAGGAGACGGGCAGCAUAUAACGAAGCCGGAAGGGCAUAUAAAAGCCAAUGUAGCUCGGAACACAAGAGCCAGGACAAGUACUGAGAAACACUGUCCUGCUGCCGCUGCAGAACCACAGAACCUCAAGUUUUAUUUUUUUUUAAUUUUUUUUAAAAGAUGUCAAGUCUGUAUUUUAAACUAGAAAUCCAUCUUAAGGGUCAAUACAAAACCAUCUUGUUUUCAUCCGGUAAAUAAAAAUAAAUAAAUUACUAAAUCUAAACCUUAGGCUAUGCCACGCUUGUAAAUGAUUGUAAAUACAGUAUAAAGAGACAAGCAUGUUACAUAUGCAAGCAUUUUUAGCUGGAUUCCAGGACGGUGUCUCUCAGUACCAUCACACUUUGAAAAUUAUACCGCAAGCGCCUCAAUUGUACAUUAUCAUCACAAUAAAGCAGCAUUUGUUUUUCAUUAUCAAA